This is a small nuclear RNA of Fukomys damarensis (Damara mole-rat), 106 nucleotides long. The record is from Ensembl. NCBI's taxonomy places the organism in Eukaryota, Metazoa, Chordata, Mammalia, Rodentia, Bathyergidae.
GCUCUCUCCAACAGCCAUAUACUAAAAUUGGAAUGGUAACAGAAGAGUGUUAGCAUGGCCCCCACGCAAGGACGACACGCGCAUUUGUGAAGCGUUCCAUGUUUUU